UCCAACCCCACCACGCAGUUACAACACCCACCUCCACCUAUUUAAUAGCAGGGGAGGUCGUUCUCCUUCUAGCCUUUUCUUUUGCGGAUUCCUUCCCCCAAUUCCCCUUAGCUUCUACUUAUUUAUUCCUUUCUUUAUUAUGAUUAGCAUUUUGUAUUUAUUUUCUUUAUGGCUUCAGGAAGGAGCUGCAGCACUCUAAGGGGCUGAUGCAGCUCAGCUGUGCUCCUGGUUCUCCCAUUCUGCUCCAGGAACCAAUCUCUCCUUCCUCACUGUGCUUUAACUUCAGCUGAGCUCUCAUAAAGUUCUCUUUUGAGGCCUGCGUUUGAGCAUAGAAAAGGUCUGUGAAGCCUCAGAGAAGCACUUCUUGCAGUGUGCAAUGGAGGAGGACGCUUCCCUUGGCUUCAAUCCGGGAGUGAGGAGCAGGCUGGAUCCUUGCAAGGGGAUGGCUUCAUGACUUUAAAAGGAUUUGUGACAAGCCAUGAGCCUUGAGAAAAUAAACCAUGAUGAAUUCCCAUCCGUAGAGACAGCUCUGAAGGUUUUCAAGAUCAGAAUGAAUAAAGCACUGUGCAAUCUGGUCAGAUCUCCCAGGGAGCCUGGCUCUGAGCAAAGAAGAGGAAUAGACAUGAGCUCCAGUUUGGAUUGCUCUCAUCAGCGAUGAUCAUACAGAGAUUCUAAGCAGCCGUAGACUUGUUUGGGGCUGGAAGUUGCAUCAGGGCAGCAAGGAUGGAAGUUUUUGGAUUUGGACACAGUGCUGCCAUAGAGUGGCUACCUGGUUAUUGGAUUCUAGUUAUUCACUUUCUCAGAGUACUCCACGCUUCAUGUUGAGGGCUGUACUCUUACAUCCUGAGUUGUAUAACCCAUUACAUCCUUAUUGUUUAAGCCUUUGCAGCAGUUGAGACUAUUUCAGAGUCAUAAGCAGCUAUUAAGAACGUUGCUGUUGUUUCUCACCAUAGAAUAAGAGAGUGACAGAAUGGCUUGGGUUGGAAGGAAGUUUGAAGAUCGUCUAGUUCCAGCCCCUUUUUGCAAACACAGAAAGGCCUUGCCAUAAAUUUUAA
Long non-coding RNA from Tympanuchus pallidicinctus (lesser prairie-chicken), 1055 nucleotides. RefSeq lists it as uncharacterized. NCBI's taxonomy places the organism in Eukaryota, Metazoa, Chordata, Aves, Galliformes, Phasianidae. The transcript is spliced from 5 exons. The record is from RefSeq and is a predicted model, not a curated record.